Pseudoliparis swirei is the source of this 2039-nucleotide RNA transcript. It is a transcript of the gene named protein-L-isoaspartate (D-aspartate) O-methyltransferase, with no coding region annotated. The record is from RefSeq and is a predicted model, not a curated record. NCBI's taxonomy places the organism in Eukaryota, Metazoa, Chordata, Actinopteri, Perciformes, Liparidae. The transcript has 8 exons.
GAUGUGGCCUUUUUCCUGUGCUCCUAGCUGGGUCUAGUAUUAAAAUUAAAAAGAUUAAUUAUUUUAUUUAACAAAAAUGUCCCAGUUCUGCCUCAGGUGUGUGUUCUCGGAUGUCUCGUGACGUCUCCGCCGCUAAGCCGUCUGCUCUGGAGGUUGCCAGCUUCCUCGGACGAACAGUUGGCGCAGGCGCGGCACUGACAGCUGCUGUCUACUUACUACGCAAAGUGUGCUUAAUAAUGGCCUGGAAAUCUGGAGGAACCAGCCACGCAGAGCUUGUUAACAACCUCCGCAAAAAUGGAAUCAUUAAGUCCGACAAGGUCUAUGAAGUCAUGCUGGCCACGGACCGAGGCCAUUUCUCCAGGUGUAAUCCGUACAUGGACUCGCCACAGUCGAUAGGCUAUCAAGCGACCAUCAGCGCCCCACACAUGCACGCCUACGCCCUGGAGCUCCUCCACGACCAGCUGUACGAGGGAGCCAAGGCUUUGGACGUCGGCUCCGGCAGCGGCAUCCUGUCUGCUUGCUUUGCACGAAUGGUUGGAGCUAAAGGGAAAGUUAUAGGUAUCGAUCAUAUGAAAGAGCUGGUGGAUGAAUCGGUCACCAACGUAAAUAAAGAUGACCCCAGUUUGAUAACAUCGGGCAGAGUCACGCUAUUAGUGGGAGACGGGCGGAUGGGCUUCACUGAGGAAGCGCCUUAUGAUGCCAUUCACGUGGGCGCAGCAGCACCCAGUGUCCCCCAAGCUCUCCUGGACCAGUUGAAGCCCGGCGGCCGGCUGAUUCUGCCCGUCGGCCCGGCGGGAGGAAACCAGAUGCUGGAGCAGUACGACAAGCUGGAGGACGGCAGCACCAAGAUGAAGCCCCUGAUGGGAGUGAUUUAUGUGCCUUUAACAGACCGAGACAAGCAGUGGUCCAGGUGGAAGUGACUUCUUUCUCCCCCUCCUCACUCUCUCCUUCUCACGGUGGCAAAGGUGAAAUGGUGUGGCUUGGAGCAGGCAACGGGAAGAGGCUGCGUUUUGCUGCUUGUUGACAUGUUUGGCUUCUUCCAUACCAUCACCACGAGCUGCACAUCUCCUCCCAACGUUGUUUUUUUAACGCCACAGUUCCAAGCCUGACUAAUGGAUUUAAAGUGGUUUUUAGGGAUGAACUCUGAAGAGGAAGACGGUCCACAGCCCACCUUUUUGAAGUUUGAAGCGGGAGAGGACUUGGACGGGGUUGAACAGCCCAUGACAUUUUGUUCACAGCGUAACAAAACAUGCUCUUUUUGUUUCAGUCUAGCGAUGGACUCGAGUAGCACAUUGAUGACGGCCUGGAAGGGCCGGGAGAGACACUGUUGAAGCUCCGCACAGAAAUAUAUAUAUAUAUCGGAGAGGACAUUUAGUUUAUAUUUUCAGGCCUGCAUCUUUUUUUUUGGCUGUGUGUUCUUUUUAGAUGCAGGAUUUUUAGGGUUUGAUUUAUUUUAUUUUUCUGGUUGGUUGGUUUCACCAUUUUGAAAUGCAAUCAGCAAUUUCGACAGUACUACAUUUCAGCAGCAUCAAAGCUUAAUGUCAAAGGAACGCUGGACAACAACGAGGAAAGCCUCAAUCAUUCAGAUAAUAAUAAUUACGUCUGUGUGUGUGUGUGUGGAUCAUCAAACUGUAGACUUCUCUGCUAACAUAUGAGCUUUCCCCUUGUCAGCAGUAUUAGGAACACGCCCAACACACUGGCUGACCCACACAACCUGUUUGCUGUGUUAAGUCAUUCUACACAUGGAACAAGCAGGCGUUGCAUCAUCGUGCACACACUGCGCCGAGAGCUGAGCAUGAACUCCACCGAUGCACGCGCACAUACAAGGCUGUGCUUUUUGUCAUCCACGAUUAGCGCAGGCUCCUCCAGCGACUGAUACAAAAUGAGAUGGUCACUGCUUCGCCAAAAUAAACUUCAACACUAUAAAGCAAAUGAAUGUCUGUUUCCUUGAAAUCAAAAAGCACAUUUUUGUUUUGGAUAAUAUUCGGCUGUCACAGAUUCUGGAAUGGCACAUGAAAAUAAAGAGAUGCUUCUGGUUU